GAUGAACGCUGGCGGCGUGCUUAACACAUGCAAGUCGAACGAUGAACCGGGUGCUUGCACUCGGGGAUUAGUGGCGAACGGGUGAGUAACACGUGAGCAACCUGCCCCUGACUCUGGGAUAAGCGCUGGAAACGGCGUCUAAUACUGGAUAUGUCCCGUCACCGCAUGGUGUGCGGGUGGAAAGAUUUUUCGGUUGGGGAUGGGCUCGCGGCCUAUCAGCUUGUUGGUGAGGUAAUGGCUCACCAAGGCGUCGACGGGCAGCCGGCCUGAGAGGGUGACCGGCCACGCUGGGACUGAGACACGGCCCAGACUCCUACGGGAGGCAGCAGUGGGGAAUAUUGCACAAUGGGCGGAAGCCUGAUGCAGCAACGCCGCGUGAGGGAUGACGGCCUUCGGGUUGUAAACCUCUUUUAGCAGGGAAGAAGCGAGAGUGACGGUACCUGCAGAAAAAGCACCGGCUAACUACGUGCCAGCCGCCGCCGUAA
Molecule: ribosomal RNA, 485 nt
Filed under: uncultured bacterium
Lineage: Bacteria
Description: partial 16S ribosomal RNA
Rfam family: Bacterial small subunit ribosomal RNA
Source: RNAcentral